This is a long non-coding RNA of Dermacentor andersoni, 1648 nucleotides long. RefSeq lists it as uncharacterized. Lineage: Eukaryota; Metazoa; Arthropoda; Arachnida; Ixodida; Ixodidae. The record is from RefSeq and is a predicted model, not a curated record.
CCUCUCUCUCCGCUAACGCGUUUGGCUGGCCGAGUGCUGUGUGUGGUGGAGUUUCCGUAGUAAUUGUGCAACGACGUGGACAUCGGAAAAGGACGUAGUUGAAGCUCUGGCACUCACACCAUCGUCUUUUUCCCGGCCAAGCAGUGCUGGGACGAGAGAGCGAUGUUUGUUUUGUUUGAUUUCUCGCGGAAGCCUCAAGUUGAACUUGCUUGUCGCAUUUGACUGUGAUGCCGACAGUGCGUUCAGUUAGAAGCAGGAGUUGAUAGAGGUAUGUCACGAGACACCGUAGCUUUGUUCGGUGAGCAAGGCAAUGCCUUCAGAAGCUACGUGAUCGUGCCGAACGGCUUCAUUUUUUCGGACAUCGAGCAAGUAAAUGCGUGCACACAGCGAGCGCAACGUCGCUGGCAAUUGCCUGAAGACAGCUCAAAGAAAUGAAAACGUGGCAGGUCUUCGAUGAACUUCUUUGAUGCCUAUCGAUCACUGGGCGCCGGCGCGCCACGCCUCUCGUCUCGGAGACCACGCGCGGACUUCUCGGCAGUGCCACUAGAGGGAGCAGCGUGUCCAGAAGGAAGCGCGAGAAAGGAGCCCGCGGUUGCGGCAUGACGUGUUUCUCAGCGUUCGCAUGCACCGCCGCGCCAUGAAUUUCGGAGGCUUCGCAGCGGCAGCGCUUGAUGGCGCCGAGUGUGCUUAGGGGAGCGUGAAAGCGCAGUCCCGCUGCAGUACACGCCACAUGCAUAACUCGUUUCGACUGUGGCAAUACGUUUUGCUAAUGUAUUGAUUCAAGGCAAAAUUGCUGCGCGACUGGCAGCUCAAGGCACUUUGCGUGUAUUCGCGGGCUUCUUUCACGCCCGGAAAAAACACUUCUAUGUAACGCGUAUUGAGCAACAGAAAGCUGUAUAAGGACUUUUUCAUGUUGCUCUACAAUUUUCACACAGUGUGUCCCAACCAUCAUGCACCAACAUUUAAAAAUAUGCAAAUGCAACAUAGCUGGACAGAACCAAGUUAAUGUUGUUUGCCGUCGCUUGGAGAUAUUCAGAUUGUUGUGUUUUUUUUUGCAUUCAGCCUAAUUACAUAACUAGUCUUAAUUAAUUAACUUCUCAAAUAUUAUAAUUAGAUGAAAAGUGUGGAUGAUAAAAUUGCAGGGCAACAUGAAAAACUCCCGAUUCAGCUUUCUGUUGCUCAAUACGUGCUACAUAAAAGCGUUUUCCUGAGCGUGAAAGAAGCCAACGAAUACAUGCAAAAAUGCCGCCCAAUUGGCCGUUCGAAGCAUUUUACAAACAAUAAAUUUAUCGAUGAUCAAAGGAUGGUAGCAUGAGGUCGCUAUGUGGCAUAAACCAAAUCUAUCGCGAUGAAGGGAGCUUCUGCUGCGCAGCUAAAAACGUCCAUUCUCUUGAAGAAACGCCCGCAUACAGCAUAAACUUCUAAUCUAAGUGCUCAGCGCCUACUUCGGAAAUUCAAUAGGAAGAACUACGUUGCAGUGCGGUGAAACCUACAUGUCCAGCACUUGAAUUACCUUCCAGAACAAGACGUGCAUUGCAGUGAAGGUAUACUGCGGAUAAAAUACAGCAGGUGGAGCGCAGGGACCCAACUUUAAAAGUAUUUUUCUUGCGUAAAUAAAAACUCUCAUUAUUCUUCCACAAACAAGCUA